CGAACCGAGCGAACGUUGUUCGGAAUCACUGGGCUUAAAGGGCGCGUAGGCGGGUGCUCAAGUCUGUGGUGAAAUCCUCCGGCUCAACCGGAGAACUGCCAUGGAUACUGGGCGUCUCGAGUGUGGUAGGGGUAUGCGGAACUAUCGGUGGAGCGGUGAAAUGCGUUGAUAUCGAUAGGAACUCCGGUGGCGAAGGCGGCAUACUGGACCACCACUGACGCUGAUGACGCGAAAAGCCAGGGGAGCAAACGGGAUUAGAUACCCCGGUAGUCCUGGCCCUAAACGAUGGGUACUAGCUAGUAGGGUACACAUGGCUUUACUGGCGAAGCAAAAGUGCUAAGUACCCCGCCUGGGGAGUAUGGUCGCAAGGCUGA
Molecule: ribosomal RNA, 374 nt
Filed under: uncultured organism
Description: bacterial SSU rRNA
Rfam family: Bacterial small subunit ribosomal RNA
Source: RNAcentral